CAGUGACAUGUGAUAACAGCGCUAUCAGCAGGCUUGGCCACUACCAGCACAGCAGGAAAUGAAUUCAGCUUCGUAAUCACCUUGGUUUUGUUGGAUUAAUGAGCGCCGGAGCACAGAGCUGCAGAAAAUUGAAACGCUGUCAGCAGUUAUAUCCUUCUCCUGAGACCGGGUCUCAAAUGAAUGGCUCUGCUCCUGAGAGAAAGGGAAAAGUGUAAUUCUGAUAUGUGUGGCAGGGGAAGAGGGAACUGCUUGCCUCUCACAGCAAGCAGCACUCAGCCAUCAGGAAAUACUCCUUUCACCCAGACUGAGUCCCCAAACUGCUCACACCAGCUUGGAAGACAUCAAACCUCCUUUUCCUCUUUUCCAUUCCAGGUGUUUUCCAAGAUGUAGCACAAAUGUGUAUGUACUGUCCACAGAUGAAAAUGCUUCCCUUUCAUGUACUGGCAUCUCGAAAACUUGCGGGUGGAAGUGUAUCUCGCACUGAAGGCAAUGAAAGGAAUGUGACAUUUUUACAGCCCGUUCGUUUAAAGACAGAGCUCGAGCACCUCCUGGGGGUUCAUAUUCUGAAUACAUUGCCAAAGGCCUGGGUGACCAGAGCCCCUACUUCAUGCUAAAUAAAGACA
Molecule: long non-coding RNA, 623 nt
Organism: Lepisosteus oculatus (spotted gar)
Lineage: Eukaryota; Metazoa; Chordata; Actinopteri; Semionotiformes; Lepisosteidae
Source: RefSeq, a predicted model, not a curated record